RNAcentral lists this ribosomal RNA (459 nucleotides) under uncultured bacterium. RNAcentral describes it as "partial 16S ribosomal RNA". It matches the Rfam family "Bacterial small subunit ribosomal RNA", at positions 338 to 795 of the family's 1533-position model. The record is from RNAcentral.
CCUACGGGGGGCAGCAGUGAGGAAUAUUGGUCAAUGGCCGGAAGGCUGAACCAGCCAUGCCGCGUGAAGGUCAGUGCCCUAUGGGCGUUAAACUUCUUUUGUGCGGGAGCAAUAAUGGUCACGUUUGGCCAGACGAGAGUACCGUACGAAUAAGCAUCGGCUAACUCCGUGCCAGCAGCCGCGGUAAUACGGGGGAUGCAAGCGUUAUCCGGAUUUAUUGGGUUUAAAGGGUGCGUAGGCGGCCUUUUAAGUCAGCGGUGAAAGUCUGUGGCUCAACCAUAGAAUUGCCGUUGAAACUGGGGGGCUUGAGUAUGUUUGAGGCAGGCGGAAUGCGUGGUGUAGCGGUGAAAUGCUUAGAGAUCAUACAGAACACCGAUUGCGAAGGCAGCUUACCAAGCUACUUCUGACGUUGAGGCACGAAAGCGUGGGGAGCAAACAGGAUUAGAUACCCCUGUAGUC